UCCUUCAUCUUCUUACUUCCGCUCGAACGCUUCUUCUCCUCCUUGCAACUUUCUUUUCCUUACCUUUCACUUACAAUGGCACUCAUUUUCUCUGACUAGUGCUCUCGUUUUUUUAUCUUCGUGGAAUUUGUGUUCUUAUUUCUCCAAAGCCAUUUUCUUCUUCGUAGAAAUCUUCUUCCAAUCUUCUACGUCUCCAAUAUCCUGAUGAGUGGCUUUUUUCAAAUUGAAUGUGGCAUCAAGACACAUUUUCCUGGUUUAUGGUUGGCUGAGGUCAGUGCAGAGUGAUACAAAGUGGUUGAUGUUCCUGAAUGAGGUAAAUUUUGGUGAUAGUUCAAAUUGAUUGUGUUGUGUAGGAGCUGAAAUGAAUGGCUAAACCUUGGUUGAAAUGAAAGGUUUAACUCAAUCAUGAAAUUUUGGAAUUUUGCAAUUAGAUAUACUAGUAUGAAUGUUAUUGUUUGCAGGUUUUUAGAAUUAUGUUAUCCUGUAUAAUAUAAUUUUUAACUUCUCAAUUG
Vigna unguiculata (cowpea) is the source of this 512-nucleotide long non-coding RNA. RefSeq lists it as uncharacterized. The record is from RefSeq and is a predicted model, not a curated record. Lineage: Eukaryota; Viridiplantae; Streptophyta; Magnoliopsida; Fabales; Fabaceae.